GGGGAGGGGAGGCCCCAAUCUCCCAGUCUUCCCCUGAAAAUUUCCCUUGUCUCAAUCGCAUCAGACUGACUGCCUUUGUCUGGAUGACAACCGCCAUAUUGAUAUCAAUAAGUUUAUCCUUUUUGAUAGUACACUAGUAUUCCAUGCUAAACAGCUUGCUGCCCUGGCUCCUCCCCACAGUGCUGUCCUCUCCAUCAUCUCCUACUCCCACACCCAUCACUGCAGGGACCUGCUGACCCUGCUUGUUUCCACACCUCACCACCAUCCAUCCCCACUGGUUGGCUUCAUACCACAAAUUACUAAAUACUUCCGCUGUAAGUCCUGACUAAAAAUUAUCUUUAAAAGAGAACUUCACAGGCAUCUUGAUU
Molecule: long non-coding RNA, 368 nt
Filed under: Chinchilla lanigera (long-tailed chinchilla)
Lineage: Eukaryota; Metazoa; Chordata; Mammalia; Rodentia; Chinchillidae
Description: lncRNA (ENSCLAG00000027286.1)
Source: RNAcentral